CGAGUGAACGCUGGCGGCAGGCCUAACACAUGCAAGUCGAACGGCAGCACAGAGGAGCUUGCUCCUUGGGUGGCGAGUGGCGGACGGGUGAGGAAAACGUCGGAAUCUGCCUAUUUGUGGGGGAUAACGUAGGGAAACUUACGCUAAUACCGCAUACGACCUACGGGUGAAAGCGGAGGACCUUCGGGCUUCGCGCAGAUAGAUGAGCCGACGUCGGAUUAGCUAGUUGGCGGGUAAAGGCCCACCAAGGCGACGAUCCGUAGCUGGUCUGAGAGGAUGAUCAGCCACACUGGAACUGAGACACGGUCCAGACUCCUACGGGAGGCAGCAGGUGGGAAUAUUGGACAAGUGGGCGCAAGCCUGAUCCAGCCAUGCCGCGUGUGUGAAGAGGCCUCGGUUGUAAGCUACGUUUAGUCCGGAAAGUAAAACGC
This 431-nucleotide ribosomal RNA is filed under the name uncultured soil bacterium. Its description in RNAcentral is "bacterial SSU rRNA". It matches the Rfam family "Bacterial small subunit ribosomal RNA", at positions 27 to 456 of the family's 1533-position model. The record is from RNAcentral.